GAUUUAGGAUUUCAAUACGAUUUGAUAAUGAUUGAUUUAGGAUUUAGGAUUUUGUGAAGAUUUUAUUAGAAUUGGUCUAAGAUUUUAGAUUUGGUUAAGAUUUGGUUAAGAUUUGGUUUAAGAUUUAAUUAAGGUUUAGAAUUUAUUUAAGAUUUUUUAAAGAUUUGAUUAAGAUAUAAUUAAGAUUUGAAUAGGAUUUCAUAUAGAUUUUACUAGGAUUUAGUUUAAGAUUUGGUUAGUAUUGAUUUAGAAUUUUAUUAGAAUUUAUUGAAGAUUAUAUUAG
RNAcentral lists this long non-coding RNA (283 nucleotides) under Physcomitrium patens. RNAcentral's name for it is "long non-coding RNA (PPAT_LNC007736)". Lineage: Eukaryota; Viridiplantae; Streptophyta; Bryopsida; Funariales; Funariaceae. The record is from RNAcentral.